Molecule: ribosomal RNA, 469 nt
Filed under: uncultured bacterium
Lineage: Bacteria
Description: bacterial SSU rRNA
Rfam family: Bacterial small subunit ribosomal RNA
Source: RNAcentral
GAUGAACGCUGGCGGCGUGCUUAACACAUGCAAGUCGAACGAAGCACUUUGGACAGAUUCUUCGGAUGAAGUCCAUGGUGACUGAGUGGCGGACGGGUGAGUAACGCGUGGGUAACCUGCCUCAUACAGGGGGAUAACAGUUAGAAAUGGCUGCUAAUACCGCAUAAGCGCACGGUACUGCAUGGUACAGUGUGAAAAACUCCGGUGGUAUGAGAUGGACCCGCGUUGGAUUAGCUAGUUGGCAGGGUAACGGCCUACCAAGGCGACGAUCCAUAGCCGGCCUGAGAGGGUGGACGGCCACAUUGGGACUGAGACACGGCCCAGACUCCUACGGGAGGCAGCAGUGGGGAAUAUUGCACAAUGGGGGAAACCCUGAUGCAGCGACGCCGCGUGAGCGAAGAAGUAUUUCGGUAUGUAAAGCUCUAUCAGCAGGGAAGAAAAUGACGGUACCUGACUAAGAAGCCCCGGC